Molecule: long non-coding RNA, 648 nt
Filed under: Nicotiana benthamiana
Lineage: Eukaryota; Viridiplantae; Streptophyta; Magnoliopsida; Solanales; Solanaceae
Description: long non-coding RNA (NBEN_LNC004837)
Source: RNAcentral
ACAGCGAUUUAAACAAAGCUGUUAGAAAAGUUGAUCAAUUUAUCAGCCAGGUACAUAUCCAUUUUCCUUUUUUUUUUUCAGAAAAUAAAACUCAAUAAAAUAAAAAAUAAAAAAGGAAAUUCGUAUUAGGGGCGUGUUUGGUAGCAGUACCAGGUCUUCGAUUUUCGGGAACAGCGGAGAUGAAGGCCAUGAGAUCGCUACGGCCAAAAAACUUGGAAACAAAAAGAGUAGCGUUACCUUGAGCGCGAGGAUCAUCAAUUCCAUCCAAGCACGCCCUUAAGGUACAAUUGUCACUACAUCUUCUUCGUAAUACUCUACAACCAUUGCAGCUCAUUUUUUCUAGGAGAGAACUAGUUUUCUAUUUCAAAGUCCACCUUUCUUCACACGAAAUGAGCGCGAGGAUCAUCAAUCCCAUCCAAGCACGCCCUUAAGGUACAAUUGUCACUACAUCUUCUUCGUAAUACUCUACAACCAUUGCAGCUCAUUUUUUCUAGGAGAGAACUAGUUUUCUAUUUCAAAGUCCACCUUUCUUCACACGAAAUGGGUCUACGACUAGAGAGAAAUGGGUAAGCUAUAUAAUAUAGACAAGUGAAGGAGAAAGAAUAACUAUGGUUAAACAAGUGUGGUUAGUGUAGUAGAAUACAGUGG